Molecule: long non-coding RNA, 7010 nt
Filed under: Carica papaya (papaya)
Lineage: Eukaryota; Viridiplantae; Streptophyta; Magnoliopsida; Brassicales; Caricaceae
Description: long non-coding RNA (CPAP_LNC007151)
Source: RNAcentral
UCAUGGUUUCUCAUGAACCUUCACAAAGCGAAUCAUCUGCUGCUGCACCAUUAGUAUCAUCUGGUCUUGAUGCCUGUGAUGGCCCCAGCAAUUCAAGUCAAACACUUGGUGUUGGUGAGAGUUCAAGGAAACAAAUAGGAAGCAGUAAGAGUCCAGAGAAUGGUUCUAAAGCCAAAGGUACCAAGUUCACUCUUAUUACCAACAUGCUCAGAGUACCGGAAAGCUCAAUAUUUUUCAUUUAUCAUGCACAUUACAGCCAUAUUUAGUUACUACUCUUAUUAAAGUGAUUUUCCCACAUGGAAAGUGAAAAUAUAUUCUAAUUUUUAUUUCUAAAUUUAUAUGUUUUUAUACAUAAAAACAUAUGAAUGAUUGAAAAUGAAAAUAAUGUUUGAAAAAUGAUGCUCUAAAUUUUGAAAAUUAUUUGCAAAUAUACUUGAGUAUAACAAGAGAUACAUACCACUGCACAUGAUUGUAUGUUAUAAAACAUAUGAAUUUAGAAAGUUAAAAUUAGUACAUAUUUUCAUGUACAACUGGAAUCCUAAUUUUUAACUAUGUUCAAAAUUUUAAAUUAUAAUUUCAAAUAAAUUCUAAUAGUAGUUUGUUUGUAUCUCAACAAACAUCUUAAUAUUUUUUUUCUAAAAAAAAAAAUAAAUUUUCAUUCUCAAAUUAUUAAUUUUUAUGGAACUAAAAAUAUAUUAUUUCAUUUGAAGAACUUCAGAAAUUAUGUUUGAAUGAAAAAGGAUAGAAUGCAUUAAUUCACAGGAGAAUGACAAUUGAUGAUUGACUGUUUUAAUGUUGUAUGACAUCAAAUAUCAUAAAAGCUUUUCUAUGAAAUCAUUAAACUUCAUGUAAAUUUCUAUUCUUUGUCCAAACUACAGAUCUUAGAGACCGGAUAAUUGACAAUUUGAAGGAGGAUAAAAAGGUAGUCUUCUUUCUUGCUACAUAGUCUAUUUUGUUGAAACCCUGAACCUUGGAGAAGUUUACAUAGUUUCUGUAUUGGCUGACUACUUGGAAAUAAUAACAGAGGAGAAAUCUAGCCCGAUAUGGAUCUGUGGCAUCUGCUUGUUCAGGUAAUACUUUUCUGCUUAAAAGUUGUCCAUUAUUAGCAAGUGACUUACUUGUUCUAUGCUCUGGAGCGAUACAGACCUUAGUAACUGAUUCAAUAGAGGAAUAUGCUUAUGAACUGGAUCAAAAUUAAACGCUGACAAUACAACAUAAAUGUCCCCAGCAUAAUAUGUUGUAAAAAUAAAGAAACGAUUGUUACCUGUGUUCUCCUUCAUGCCAUUCCACUUAAGACACUGAAUAUAAGGUCACAAUAUGUUUCCCAUUAGUCUGGAUGCAAACAGAAGGGGAGAUUGUUACCUAGUUCUUCUUCAUGCCAUCCCACUACUAAGAUAUGGAAUAUAUUUUGACCUACUUCUGAUCAAGGGUCAAAAUGUAUUUCCCAUUAUCUUGAAUGUAAACAGAAGUGUUUUUCGGAUGCCUGGUGGAGAUAGAUGAGUUGGGAAUUGGAGACAAAGAAGAAUUCAUGGAAUAACUUGUUAAAGGAAUCACUUGGUUGACUCUGAUAUAAUGUAAUUUUUAAUGGUAGAUUCACGCACUGCCUUUAUUUAUUUCAUAACAGUAUAUGCACGAGAAUUUCACCUUUAAGUGGAACAAUGGUAAAAGAAAGUACGUCUCAAUUACUAACAUAAAAUAUAUCCUAUCACUUUAUAUUAGUAAUAAGAUGGAAAAAUAUUCUUAGAUGGUUUAGCAACACUGAUAUUGAGAUGAAAGUUUCAUCUGCCAAUCCACUAUUUAUGGACUUGUAUAAAUUUUGUUAAGGAGUUAUGAUAAAACCCCAUCCAGAAGAUCUAGCCGGGUGCCUAUCAUGAAUCCUAAGUAACCCCAGUAACUGCCACUACCAGCAAAAGAAGCGGUCAACAAAAAAUCAUCAGUGAAUCCCACGACUCCACGAUCUGCUCUUCCACAAAUCCCAAUAUCUCUUUGCUUUUAUCUCUUUGAAUUUCUGAUAAUUAUCUAGAAGCAUAAAAGUAGGAAAUGCAAUUGUAAUCUUUUUCUAUUUAAGUACUUCAAAAUCAUGAAUAAAGAUAUAGACAUUUGCAGAAUUCUCACUGGUCUUUUCUCGCCAAAAGAGAGAGCUUUUUUUUUCCUGCUAUCUUGUGCAUCUGACUUGGACCAACAUUUGGUAUCAGAGCACGGUUGUUAUGGCUACCAACAAGGAGCGCAUCGAGAGCUUGGAAGCGGGACUCGGCGGCCUGCAAGACAGCUUCAGCCGCAUAGAGCUGGGACUAACCGAGCAAAUGCGAAUGCUGGAGGAAAACAUCAACAGACUCUCAGACUCGAUUGCCUCUGGCCACAAAGGGUCAAGCAACAAUCACCAGAGUCGACCCUGACUGCUUCGCCCAGACCGCGACGAAGGUGUAGAACGUGAAGAAGGUAGGCUACCGACCUUCCCACGAUUGACUCGGCUUGAGUUUCCUCAUUUAGCGGUGGUGACCCCACCGAAUGGCUUAAUUGAGUGGGACAUUUUUUCGACUUCCAGGCGACGGCUGAACACCACUGCGUCGCUCUGGCUGCCUUCCAUCUUGAAGGAGUAGCCAACUGCUGGAGGCAGUAGCUCAGCAAAAGGAAGAGGGCCGGAUCGUGGAUUGGGUCAAUUUUGAAGACGAGUUGUGGGUCUGUUUUGGGCCAACUAAGUUCGAAGACUGUGAUGAGGCCCUGACCUGCAUCAAACAGAUUGGGCCUUUAAGGGAUUAUCAAGAGGUUAGGCAAUUGGGUCAAGAGAUGGACCCAAAAGGCCUUGUUGGGGGGCUUUUAUUGGCAGGCUCGAGCCUGAGCAUGCUGACGGAAUCAGGAUGUUCCGGCCCAGAAGCCUUAAGGAUGCUAUCGGCCUGGCCCGCGUGAAGACCAGGUGGAGCGCAAGAAAAGGAUGAACCAACCCAGACGGCUCGUGACCGGUUCGUCUGCAAACCCCAUAGUCUCCAACACACCGACCGGGUGCACUCAGCAAACCCUAGCCGCCUCGAACACAGUAAAACGCAUCUCCUGGGACGAGAUGCAGCGGUGGCGAGAGCAAGGAUUGUGCUUCAACUGCGAUGAGCGGUUCUCUGCGGGCCAUCGAUGCCGCAAAGCGCAGCUCUUACUCCUCAAAUGAGGUAGUGUCAGGGAAGAAGAAAUCGACGAAGAAGACCCAGAAAUCUCUCUCCAUGCCUUCACCGGGUGGUCCACAACUCGAACUAUGAAAGUACCAGCUUCCAUUCGAUGACAGAAAAUUAUCGCCCUCAUUGACAAUGGGUCUGCCCACAAUUUUAUCAGUGACCAAAUCACAGGCUGAUUGUAGCUUUUUAUAAUUCCAAUGACUGCAUUUUCAGUCUAGGUGGCCAACGGGGAUCCGAUGAAAUGCUUCAGCCGCUUCAAGCACGUGUCGAUCUCCCUUCAAGGGCAUCCCGUUCUCCCUAACUUUUUACUCAUUACCACUGAUCGGGCUUGAUGUUGUUUUAGGAGUUCAGUGGCUUGAAUCAUCGAGGAUGGUUGUUUGUGAUUAGAGGAGAAUGACGAUGGAAUUUCUUUAAAUGAGUCAGUCGCGGCGAUUGUGUGGCCUGGACACCCCGCCACUCCUGGUGGCUUCCCUAGAGGAACUUAGCAUAUGUCGUCUGUUUUAUGACAGAACACCAGGUUCCCUCUCCAGUUGAACAGCCCGAGCUACAGCAGCUAAUUGACCAGUUUUCUGAUCUGUUUGAAAAACCCAAGCAACUUCCUCCUCAAAGAGACGUUGAACAUCAAAUCUCCGUCAAAGAUGGCACUGAACUAGUCAAUGUACGCCUAUAUCACUAUGCACAUUUUCAUAAAUCUGAAAUUAAAAGACAAGUGUUUGAUAUGCUCAAGAGUGGCCUCAUUCAGCCAAGUACAAGUCCAUUCUCAUCGCUGGUGCUGUUAGUUCGUAAGAAGGAUGGAACUUGGCGAUUUUGUACUGAUUACCGAGCCCUCAACGCGGUGACCAUCAAGGACUAUUUUCUUAUUCCGACAAUGGAAGAUAUGUUGGAUGAGCUACAUGGGACCGUAUACUUCACCAAAUUGGACCUCACUGCCGGGUAUCAUCAAGUCAGGGUCCACCCUACAGACAUAACCAAGAUCGCGUUCAGAACCCACAACGGCCAUUAUGAGUAUCUAGUAAUGUCUUUUGGUCUAUAUAAUUCACCAUCUAUUUUUCAAGUUAUUAUACCUCCUGAGGUUUGUUCUGGUUUUCUUUGAUGAUAUUCUAGUUUAUAGCAUCAGCUGGGAAUUGCACCUCGCACAUGUCAAAACAGUUUUUGGGGUCCUCAAACAUCAUCAGUUUUUUGUGAAGUUCAAGAAGUGCACAUUCGGGUGUCAAGAGCUAAAACACUUGGGCCACAUCAUUACCUCAAAAGGUGUCAAAGUAGACCAAUGGAAAAUUCAAGCCAUGUGGGCAUGGCCAAGACCUACUACUCACAAAGUUCCAAGGUUUUCUGGGACUCACAGGGUAUUAUCGUAAAUUGUACAGAACUAUGGAAUAGUGGCUGUCUCUCACCAACUUAUUAAAAAAGGGUCCUUCCAGUGGAACACAGAGGUAGAAACUGCUUUCACUAAACUAAAGCAGGCCAUGACCACCACCUCUAAUCUGGCACUCUCUAACUUCAAUGAAGCCUUUACCAUCGAAACUGAUGCAUCUGGAGAAGGAAUUGGGGCAGUCCCCACCAACAGGGCAAGCCCAUUGCAUAUAUAAGUCGUGUUUUGGGAGCAUCCAAGUUAUCAUGGUCCACCUAUGCCAAAGAGUUACUGGCCAUUGUCAUCGCCAUUCAAACUUAGAGACGGUAUCUACUAGGGUGCAAUUUUUUUAUCAAAACUGAUCAAUGCAACUUGAAGUACUUGAUGGACCAACGGAUCACUGCCCCGGAAUAGCAAAAAUGGGUCUCUAAGUUAUUCGGUUAUGAUUAUGAGAUACUGUAUAAACCAAGCAAAGAAAACCAAACGGCGUAUGCCUUAUCCCAACAAUUCCAUAAUCCUACAAUGCAUACUCUCUUUACUGUCAGCACAACUCAAUGGGACUAGAUCAUAAAGGAGUCCGAAAAAACCCUUAUGUCUAAAAAAUUGUAAAGAAAGCAAAAGAAUAACCCAGUCAACCAUAUCUAGAGAAAAAUGGACUGGUCUACUACAAACACCGAGUUAUUGUCCCUCCUACAUCUAGUAUAGUCCGGCAGUUUCUACAAGUCUAUCAUGAUUCUCCUAUGGUUGGCCACUCUGGUAUUCUCCAUACCUAUAAAUGGCUAGUGCUGCAAUUCUAUUGGCCUUCCAUGAGAUAGAUCAUUCAAGACUAUGUAGCAGCAUGUGAGACCUUUCAAUGAUCUAAGUCCGAAACUUUGUUUCCAGCAGAGCUCCUACAACCUUUACCGGUUUCGUGUCAAGUAUGGGAUGACAUUACCAUGGAUUUCAUUUAAGGUCUUUCACCUUCCAAGGGCAAGAACAAUAUUUUGGUAGUUGUCGACUGGCUUAACAAAUUCAUUCAUUUCUUGGCAUUGAGUCACCUAUACACCGUCAAAAUGGUAGCAGAAAAAAUCAGUGAGAAUAUAGUCGAGCUCCAAGGCAUGCCUCAAGUGAUUGGGACCCUAUUUUCAUUAGUCAUUUUUUGCAAAAAAAUUUUAAACUUUGAGGAACCAAACUAAAGAUGAACUUGGCCUACCACUCUCAAAUCGAUGGUAAAUCAAAGUAGUCAACUGAUGUGUCAGAACAGUACCUCUGAUGCCUUGCACAUCAGUGGCCCAAUAAAUGAUGUUCCUUCCUUCCAUGGGCGGAAUAUUGGUAAAACACCACCUACCACUCAUCCAUUGGAAUGACGCCCUUUUAGGCACUACAUGGGCAGCCACCACCCACCAUCUCUCACUAUAUGGAAGGCAUGACGGCUGUGAAUGAGGUAGACCAACAGUCAACUGCACGGGAUGAGCUCCUUAACCAGCUCAAGAAUCACUUACAAGCAGCACAGAAUCGCAUGAAACAAUCAGCAGAUAACCAUCGUCGCCAUGUGGAGUUGCAAGUCGGUGAUUGGGUUUUCUUACACCUUCAACCUUACUGAUAAUAGACCGUAUUUAAGAGGGCUAUCCAAAAACUGGCUUGCCGAUUCUUUGGGCCAUUUCAGAUCGAAGCACAAAUUAGGCCAGUGGCAUACCGCCUCAAGUUACCUCCCUCUUCCCGCAUCCAUCCAGUGUUCCACGUCUCCCUUCUCAAAAAACAAGUCGGAGACGACACAAUCCCCAUCAAAGAGCUACCGUCAUCUUGCAACUCGAAGAAAUUCUGGAUAUCCGUUGGCUCAAAAAAGGGACACAAGUAGUGGAAGAAAGCCUAGUCAAAUGGAAGCACCUUCCCGUAGAUGAUGCAACUUGGGAAAAUACAGACGAAUUACGAGACCGCUUCCUUAACUUAAACCUUCAGGACAAGGUUCAUUUUCAGAGCAGGAGUGAUGAUAAAACCCCAUCCAGAAGAUCUAGCCGGGUGCCCAUCAUGAAUCCUAAGUAUCUCCAGUAAUUGCCACUACCAGCAAAAGAAGCGGUCAACAAAAAAUCAUCAGUGAAUCCCACGACUCCACGAUCUGCUCUUCCACAAACCCCAGUAUCUCUUUUCUUUUAUCUCUUUGAAUUUCUGAUAAUUAUCUAGAAGCAUAAAAGUAGGAAAUGCAGUUGUAAUCUUUUUCUAUUUAAGCACUUUAAAAUCAUGAAUAAAGAUAUAGACAUUUGCAGAAUUCUCACUGGUCUUUUCUUACCAAAAGAGAGAGCUUUCUUUACUGUUAUCUUGUGCAUCUGACUGGGACCAACAAGUUACAUGUUAUGCUUGCUUACAUCAGUGCUUCAUAAAAAGAUGUGAUUUCAGAAAUGCAAUACGAUGGUGAUCUUCACGAACCUUUUUUUACCUGUUAAUUUCUCUAAUCAUUUGAAGUUAUGCAGUGGACAAAGCAGACCCCACAAAGAAACGUAGAGUAGAAAGAUCCAGAAAGUAUG